GAUGAACGCUGGCGGCGUGCCUAAUACAUGCAAGUCGAGCGAACAGACGAGGAGCUUGCUCCUUCGACGUUAGCGGCGGACGGGUGAGUAACACGUAGGUAACCUACCUAUAAGACUCGGAUAACUUCGGGAAACCGGAGCUAAUACCGGAUAAUAUUUCGAACCGCAUGGUUCGAUAGUGAAAGAUGGCUUUGCUAUCACUUAUAGAUGGACCUGCGCCGUAUUAGCUAGUUGGUAAGGUAACGGCUUACCAAGGCAACGAUACGUAGCCGACCUGAGAGGGUGAUCGGCCACACUGGAACUGAGACACGGUCCAGACUCCUACGGGAGGCAGCAGUAGGGAAUCUUCCGCAAUGGGCGAAAGCCUGACGGAGCAACGCCGCGUGAGUGAUGAAGGUCUUCGGAUCGUAAAACUCUGUUAUUAGGGAAGAACAAACGUGUAAGUAACUGUGCACGUCUUGACGGUACCUAAUCAGAAAGCCACGGCUAACUACGUG
RNAcentral lists this ribosomal RNA (497 nucleotides) under uncultured bacterium. RNAcentral describes it as "partial 16S ribosomal RNA". It matches the Rfam family "Bacterial small subunit ribosomal RNA", at positions 28 to 507 of the family's 1533-position model. The record is from RNAcentral.